This 245-nucleotide ribosomal RNA is filed under the name uncultured bacterium. RNAcentral's name for it is "partial 16S ribosomal RNA". It matches the Rfam family "Bacterial small subunit ribosomal RNA", at positions 109 to 354 of the family's 1533-position model. The record is from RNAcentral.
AGUAACGCGUGAGGAACCUGCCUUUCAGAGGGGGACAACAACUGGAAACGGCUGCUAAUACCGCAUAACAAGGAGAGAGCGCAUGUUCUUUUCUUCAAAGAUUUAUCGCUAUGGGAUGGACCCGCGUCUGAUUAGCUAGUUGGUGAGGUAACGGCUCACCAAGGCGACGAUCAGUAGCCGGCUUGAGAGAGUGAACGGCCACAUUGGGACUGAGACACGGCCCAGACUCCUACGGAAGGCAGCAG